CCUACGGGUGGCUGCAGUGGGGAAUAUUGGACAAUGGGCGAAAGCCUGAUCCAGCCAUGCCGCGUGUGUGAAGAAGGCCUUCGGGUUGUAAAGCACGUUCAGUGGGGAAGAAAGCCUUGGGGCUAAUACCCUCGAGGAAGGACAUCACCCACAGAAGAAGCACCGGCUAACUCCGUGCCAGCAGCCGCGGUAAUACGGAGGGUGCGAGCGUUAAUCGGAAUUACUGGGCGUAAAGCGCGCGUAGGCGGUCUGAUAAGCCGGUUGUGAAAGCCCCGGGCUCAACCUGGGAACGGCAUCCGGAACUGUCAGGCUAGAGUGCAGGAGAGGAAGGUAGAAUUCCCGGGGUAGCGGUGAAAUGCGUAGAGAUCGGGAGGAAUACCAGUGGCGAAGGCGGCCUUCUGGACUGACACUGACGCUGAGGUGCGAAAGCGUGGGUAGCAAACAGGAUUAGAUACCCUGGUAGUC
This 465-nucleotide ribosomal RNA is filed under the name Vreelandella stevensii. Its description in RNAcentral is "partial 16S ribosomal RNA". It matches the Rfam family "Bacterial small subunit ribosomal RNA", at positions 338 to 795 of the family's 1533-position model. Lineage: Bacteria; Pseudomonadati; Pseudomonadota; Gammaproteobacteria; Oceanospirillales; Halomonadaceae. The record is from RNAcentral.